Molecule: ribosomal RNA, 251 nt
Filed under: uncultured SAR86 cluster bacterium
Lineage: Bacteria; Pseudomonadati; Pseudomonadota; Gammaproteobacteria
Description: partial 16S ribosomal RNA
Rfam family: Bacterial small subunit ribosomal RNA
Source: RNAcentral
CGCCUGGGGAGUGCGGUCGCAAGACUAACUCAAGAUGACGACCCGCACAGCGCGAGCAUGCGCUAUCGAUGAUACCGUAGACUACUGACUAGACUAAGGGAAAGCUAUAGAAAUAUAGUGUGCGUAGCGCCUAUACAGGUGGUGCAUGGCUGUCGUCAGCUCGUGUCGUGAGAUGUUGGGUUAAGUCCCGCAACGAGCGCAACCCUGUCUAAGUUGCCAGCAAGUAUUUGGGGACUCAUAGGAGACUGCCG